Molecule: ribosomal RNA, 253 nt
Filed under: uncultured bacterium
Lineage: Bacteria
Description: partial 16S ribosomal RNA
Rfam family: Bacterial small subunit ribosomal RNA
Source: RNAcentral
UACGUAGGUGGCAAGCGUUGUCCGGAAUUACUGGGUGUAAAGGGAGCGCAGGCGGGAAGCCAAGUCAGCUGUGAAAACUACGGGCUUAACUUGUAGACUGCAGUUGAAACUGGUUUUCUUGAGUGAAGUAGAGGUUGGCGGAAUUCCGAGUGUAGCGGUGAGAUGCGUAGAUAUUCGGAGGAACACCGGUGGCGAAGGCGGCCAACUGGGCUUUAACUGACGCUGGGGCUCGAAAGUGUGGGGAGCAAACAGG